GAAAUGCGAUAAGUAGUGUGAAUUGCAGAAUUCAGUGAAUCAUCGAAUCUUUGAACGCACAUUGCGCCCCUUGGUAUUCCAUGGGGCAUGCCUGUUCGAGCGUCAUUUGUACCCUCAAGCUCUGCUUGGUGUUGGGUGUUUGUCCCGUCUCCGCGCGUGGACUCGCCCCAAAGUGAUUGGCAGCCGGCGUACUGGUCCCGGAGCGCAGCACAUGUCGCGCAAACGAGUGCCUUGGUACGGCGGCGUCCAUAAGUCCCUCUCUCACGCUCUUGACCUCGGAUCAGGUAGGGAUACCCGCUGAACUUAAGC
Molecule: unclassified non-coding RNA, 309 nt
Filed under: plant metagenome
Description: partial contains 5.8S ribosomal RNA, internal transcribed spacer 2, and large subunit ribosomal RNA
Rfam family: 5.8S ribosomal RNA (bases 1-105)
Source: RNAcentral